Caenorhabditis elegans is the source of this 66-nucleotide non-coding RNA. The record is from Ensembl. Lineage: Eukaryota; Metazoa; Nematoda; Chromadorea; Rhabditida; Rhabditidae.
ACAUCCAUCUCCGAACCACAAGGUUUGUUCUCCUCCAUUCAUUCCAAUAUAGGAAGCACAUCCUCC